GGAGGGAUUUUUGGCAAUGGGCGAAAGCCUGACCAAGCAACGCCGCGUGGGUGAUGAAGUAUCUUGGUACGUAAAACCCUUUCGGCAGGGACGAACCUAAUGACGGUACCUGCGGAAGAAGCCCGGCGUAACUCCCGUGCCAGCAGCCGCGGUAAUACGGGGGGGGCAAGGCUUGUUCGGAAUUACUGGGCGUAAAGGGCGCGUAGGCGGUUGGAUAAGUCAGCUGUGAAAACCACGGGCUUAACUCGUGGCCUGCAGUUGAGACUGUCUGGCUUGAGUGUGGGAGAGGAGAGUGGAAUUCCUGGUGUAGCGGUGAAAUGCGUAGAUAUCAGGAGGAACACCGGUGGCGAAGGUGGCUCUCUGGACCACAACUUGACGCUGAGGCGCGAAAGCUAGGGGAGCAAAACA
Molecule: ribosomal RNA, 408 nt
Filed under: uncultured bacterium
Lineage: Bacteria
Description: bacterial SSU rRNA
Rfam family: Bacterial small subunit ribosomal RNA
Source: RNAcentral